Lineus longissimus is the source of this 1244-nucleotide long non-coding RNA. RefSeq lists it as uncharacterized. The record is from RefSeq and is a predicted model, not a curated record. The transcript is spliced from 3 exons. NCBI's taxonomy places the organism in Eukaryota, Metazoa, Nemertea, Pilidiophora, Heteronemertea, Lineidae.
GUCUCAGUUUCGAUCGACGCGUUACAUUCAGUUAUGCCAACUGGAUUUUUUACUUGAUCCGCUAUUAACAAUAGCACACUGCUGACAAAGCGAGAAAUAUGGAUAACUGUAAGGCGAAGAUUGUCUACAUAUUUUUUUGGGAAUUUACGUUAAUUGGACUGUUUGUCAUUGUGUGUGGUACGCCCCCAAAAGGAUAUACUCAACGACAAGGAGACUGCAGCGGUUAUGAUAUGAACAGAAUAUCAAAUACGGACCUUAGUCCCUGCAUCUCUUCUUGCAACAGGGAUAAGGCAUGCAUGGCUCUCAUGUACGACAGUAAAGGAAAAUUCUGCAUUCUCAAGACUAAAGUAGGAUGCCGCCUGCGCCUCACACAUGACGAUAGAUAUCUGUACUUUGAUAAGACAGAUACCAUGACCUUUGGAAUAUACUACAAGCGGACGACGUCUACGCCAUCGCAUGGUAUAGUGAGACAAACAAUAACGCCAUCAGGGAGCGAAGAAGAGUGCGCAGUUUCCUGUUCGAAUUACGGACCUUGCAGUGCCUUCGGAUACGACAGCUCAACAUUGAAGUGCCGUCUAUUGGCUAUCAUCGAAAACAAUACACUUGACCAAUCACAAUUUGGUGAGAGCGUCUUCUAUAUGAUGGAACUGUAAAGUCCUAGGCCGGUCGUGUUUACUGGUAUGUCAUGAUUUAACGAGGUGGCAAGAUAAGAUGCACUUCUUGUAAAGUCUUCAGAUAGCUUGACAGAUUUAGUUCUUUUUAUUUCCUGCUGCCGUAUGGAGAGGUGUACUUGGUUCCUUCACGUUCUUAAUACAAACAAGCAUUGUUUACUUGUACCAAAUGUGUCUCCGUGUUUUUGCUUUUCUGUACAUUUGAUAGUAAUUGUAAUUGCUAUAAUGUUCAGCAUUUUUUCAUCUUACGUAUCCAAUACAUCCUUAUUAUACGAACUGUCAUUGCUGAGGGCAAAGUCAUAUAACGGUUUAAAUAGCAUUCCGCGAUGAUGAGGUCACUGCAGCUGCUGCCCUCUAUUUCCUCAUCGCUGAAUUACAAGCAAUGUCGGACAAACAUGCGGUUUCGUAAUGGAUUCAGGCUUUCUAACUAGGGCAGUUAGAUUCAAUCUGGCACAUGUCCGAGUGUUGGAAAUACUACAUAAUUGUUCUGAAUAUUUCUCUUUCUGACUCUAUGGUAUCAUUCAUGCUAAAAACAAUGCAGGGUCAAAGAUAAUUGACUUUGAAAUAAGCUCA